Molecule: ribosomal RNA, 835 nt
Filed under: uncultured bacterium
Lineage: Bacteria
Description: bacterial SSU rRNA
Rfam family: Bacterial small subunit ribosomal RNA
Source: RNAcentral
GGCUCAGGGUAAACGCUGGCGGCGUGCCUAAAACAUGCAAGUCGCACGGGACUUCGGUCCAGUGGCAGACGGCUGAGUAACGCGUGGGUGACGUACCUGUUGGUGGGGAAUAACUGCCCGAAAGGGUGGCUAAUACCGCGUAAGUCUGUUGAGUCGUUUUGACAGGGAAAGCAGCAAUGUGCCGAUGGAGCGGCCCGCGUCCGAUUAGCCAGUUGGUGGGGUAACGGCCUACCAAAGCGACGAUCGGUAGCUGGUCUCAGAGGAUGAUCAGCCAGACUGGGACUGAGACACGGCCCAGACUCCUACGGGAGGCAGCAGUUAGGAAUUUUGGGCAAUGGGCGCAAGCCUGACCCAGCAACGCCGCGUGGGUGACGAAGGCCUUCGGGUUGUAAAGCCCUUUUCUCAGGGAAGAUGAUGACGGUACCUGAGGAAGAAGCACCGGCUAACUACGUGCCAGCAGCCGCGGUAAUACGUAGGGUGCAAGCGUUGCCCGGAUUUAUUGGGCGUAAAGGGCGCGUAGGCGGUGAGACACGUUUGUUGUGAAAUCGCCCGGCUCAACUGGGCGGGGUCAGCGAAUACGGUCUCACUUGAGCAAGCUAGGGGGCAAUGGAAUUCCCGGUGUAGUGGUGGAAUGCGUAGAUAUCGGGAGGAACACCAGUGGCGAGGGCGGUUGCCUGGGGCUUUGCUGACGCUGAUGCGCGAAAGCGUGGGGAGCGAUCCGGAUUAGAUACCCGGGUAGUCCACGCCGUAAACGAUGUCGACUAGGUGUCGGGGGUAUCGACCCCCUCGGCGCCGCAGCUAACGCAUUAAGUCGACCGCCUGGGGACUACGGCCG